GACGAACGCUGGCGGCGUGCUUAACGCAUGCAAGUCGAACGGAAAGGCCCUGCUUGCAGGGUACUCGAGUGGCGAACGGGUGAGUAACACGUGGGUGAUCUGCCCUGCACUUCGGGAUAAGCCUGGGAAACUGGGUCUAAUACCGGAUAGGAGCCAUUUUUAGUGUGAUGGUUGGAAAGUUUUUUCGGUGUAGGAUGAGCUCGCGGCCUAUCAGCUUGUUGGUGGGGUAAUGGCCUACCAAGGCGGCGACGGGUAGCCGGCCUGAGAGGGUGGACGGCCACAUUGGGACUGAGAUACGGCCCAGACUCCUACGGGAGGCAGCAGUGGGGAAUAUUGCACAAGGGGCGCAAGCCUGAUGCAGCGACGCCGCGUGGGGGAUGACGGCCUUCGGGUUGUAAACUCCUUUCGCUAGGGACGAAGCUUUUUGUGACGGUACCUAGAGAAGAAGCACCGGCUAACUACGUG
RNAcentral lists this ribosomal RNA (465 nucleotides) under uncultured bacterium. Its description in RNAcentral is "partial 16S ribosomal RNA". It matches the Rfam family "Bacterial small subunit ribosomal RNA", at positions 28 to 507 of the family's 1533-position model. The record is from RNAcentral.